GAACUCGGCGGCCGCCAUGGCGUCCAACAUGGACCGGGAGAUGAUCCUAGCGGAUUUUCAGGCAUGUACUGGCAUUGAAAACAUUGAUGAAGCUAUUACACUGCUUGAACAAAAUAACUGGGACUUAGUGGCCCACACCUGCGGCAUAUGGGAGUUCCCAAGCUAGCAGUUGAAUCGGAGCUGUAGCUGCCGGCCUGUGCCAUAGCCACAGCCACAGUAAUGGAUCCAAUCUGCAUCUGUGACCUACACUGCAGCUCAUGGCAAUGCCGGAUCCUUAACCCACUGAAUAAGGCCAGGGAUUGAACCCAUGUCUUCAUGGAUGCUAGUCGGGUUUGUAACCUGCUGAGCCACAAUGGGAACUCUCCUAUAUAAAUUUUUAAGAUUGCCUAUUUCAUUAAACCAGUGCUACUUUAUUUUUUCAUGUUCUGGCACUUGUCAAAAUUUACAAAUAUUUGUAUGGCCUUAUUUCAAAUCCACGCUUUACCACUGCGCUAUCUUCUUAACAAAUUAUAGCAUAGAUGACAUAUUCCUGAUUUCUAUGUGGAGGAAGGGUCAGUGACUUAUUUGGAGUGGUAUCACCAGGUUUCUUGUCUUGAAACUUCUUUUGCAAUAGUGAGAAUAUUGCUUCAUUUAGUUUGUAUAUUUUUAGUAUGUCUUGGAGAGGCUGAUGCAAAUUAUUGGUUGAAAUAAAAAAUCCCACCAAGCCACUCUUGCAUGGUACUGAUGAGAGGUAAUAUGCGCUGGGGUAAAGGGACAUUAUGGACUGAAAGUAAUGGACUGUAAGUCUUUGAAGUGAGAAUUAUCAUUUGGAUAUAAGUUCAUUCCUUAUCUGCUUCCUAUUGAUCCAUGUUCAUUAAUUUUGGAGAGUAAACAUCUACUCAAUUUAGUAAUCUGUCUAGAGUAUUGUAGAAAGAGAAUUUUUCCCAGAUAGUGUUAAAUAAUUGAAUGAUACAGGUAUUCUCCAACUAUUUCUGAGUUGUUUGAUUUUGGAAAAUACUAAAAUAGCACUUGGGCUAAAAAUACUCAUGCUGUAUUUCUGCAAAAAUACAAUCUCAUCUUGUGUUGGUCCUAAGCAAAGGCAUCAGGCUGUCUUUCACAGUCUUCAGCUUUGGCUUUCUUUUGAAAUUUAUGCCCUAGUUGGCUUUUCUUGGCAAAUAAUCCAUUUUUUUCCACAGUAAGGAUUUACUGUGUUGUGUAACUAUCUUGCUUUAAAAUUUUUCUUAUUUCCCUUGUUUUUCCACAGCACUCACUUUACAUUGUUGUUUUUAAAAAACAAAGCAAUAAAAAAAAUAAAAAUCAUUAUUUAUAUAAAAAAGAAUCUAUACAUGUAUGUAUAGCUGGGUUACCAUGCUGUACAGUAGAAAAUUGACAGAACACUGUAAACCAGCUAUAAUGAAAAAAAAAAUAAUAAAAAUCAUUAUAUAUAAAAAAAAAAUAAAAAAGGAAGCAAAUGUUUUGAGUAAGCCAUUACUAGUUCAGACUGCAUUAGGAUCAUGGUAUUUAUAUGGUGUUUUUUAUAUUUUGCUUGUGUGUUGUAUUUUUGUGUUCGAAAUUAUGAUUAUCAUUGCGUUAUAUUUUAUGGGCCUUAUGGAACAACUUACGUAAGUUCCAUAUCCUUAUGGAACUUAGGGUGUGUCUGUAUCUUACAUUUGCUCUGUGUGCUGGUUAGCCUUUUCCAGUGUCUUUGUGAACAUUUUGCUAGAGAAGUGUGGAGGAAUGUGAGUUAGGCAUCACAGUCUGGAAUUGUGAUGAAUUUUAAAAAGACUAAUAACAAAAAACUCAUUCUGUUGAUACUGAAUGCUUACAGACUCUCUGGAUUUAUGCUAGAUACAGUGGAAGCUGAAAAAAAUGUUAAUACUGUAUCUCUGAGAAGUAUACUGAAAAAUUGAGAAGACAAAUGGUCUUUUAUACCUGUAUAUAAUAAUCAGAAAUGGGAAUAACUUCUUUAAAAAAUGAUUGCAAAUAUAUUUUUGCCAUUUUAUAGAUUUAGACACACAAAUAAAAUAGUAUUCUAUAUGAAAUUGUAGCCCAGUCCUAGGAACUUCAGUCAUUAGUCACGUUCCCUGAUCCUGAACAUUAAUUUUAUUGUUUAGCUAUCCAUAGAGUGGUAUUUCCAAGCCCUAUGUUUUAAGUGCCCUACAAUUGACCCUACUUAUUUGGGGGCAAUUGCAGUUUGGGUUAUAUAUGCUAAAAUUCUGAGGAAAAAAAAAAAACGUGAGCUUUAAUACCGUUGAUAAGCAUCUUGGGCUACUGUUUUAUUUGACAUGAAUCCUCUAGUAUUACUCCAUCUACCUCAGACUUUAAUUUUUCACACUGUCCUGCACUUUUAGUUAAGAGAAGAUUAAUGCCAGUAUAGGUGAUUCUUUCAUUGCAGACAAGUAUUUUCUAUAUAAAUCCAGAAAGGUGAAUACCCAAGGAAGAAUUACUGGCAAUGAUGUAGAAUCUUUUACCAAAGCAUUGCCUUCUUACAUAGAUGCGUCUAUUUGAUCACUUUAAAUUAUAAAUCUGGGCUCCAUAAUUGACCCCCUGCUCAUUUUUUGUUUUUCGGUACAGAAGAAUUUGAGUCAGUUGUGAAUAGAAAUCUAUACGACUUGUGUUAAUUUUGAGUAAUCAGAAUGUGAGACAGCUAAUCGUAGUGGUGGAUCCAUUUCCUUCAUCUUGAAUUAGGAGACUUAGCUUUUUAAACCUCUUGUCAUUACUUUAUUGAGUAUGGCCUAGGCCAAGUUACUCCUCUGUGAACUUAGUAUAAGAUAAGGGAUUUGGGAGUUCCCUGGUGGCCUAGCGGUCAAAGAUCUGGUGUUGUCACUGCUGUGGCAUGGGUUUGAUCCUUGGCCUAGGAACCUUUGCAUGCUGUGGGUGUGGCCAAAAAGGGGGGUGUUUGGACUAGUUUAUCAAGAUCCUUUGUACAUGAAAUAUUUACGAAGACUGUUUAUGUUCUAAUUUUUGUUGAGAUUCUAUAAAAAGCAGACAAUUAUAAAUAGUAAUAUAAGUAAACAUUUUAAUAGAAAUUAAAAAUUUGAAACAGUUGUAUGCAUACUAUUUUGUUUAAUCCUUUUAACAACUUUAUGACACAAAUAAUGGAUGGACAAGAUGCUGUGCUAAUUGUUUCAUGAAAAGUCUUUAUAUAUGAAGCUCCUUCAGUAAGUUAAAAUUUCCAAUAAGCUAUAGAACAUGCAAGGGGGGCUUUUUGACAUAUACUUGAUAACUCAGUGCUAAGUAAAAUAAAGUACAAGUAAACAUUAACUUAGCCAUACUACAUUUUAAGUACUCUAUGCUCUUAGGAAAUGAUUUUUGAACUUUGUACUUACUUUCUGCUCUAAUUUGUGCUGGGGGCUGACAUAGCUACUUUGUUGAAGGAAGACUAUUCUGAGUGUUUGUAUUUAUUUUUAACUACAUGUCCCGACUUAAGGCAAAAAUGAAACAAAUAAGCCUACCUAACUUUUGGAUCAUUACUGAAUUUCUAGUCUUUAAAGAUAAUUUUAUAUUAAUAGGCACCUGGAGUUCCCAUUGUGGCUCAGUGGAUAACGAAUCCGACUAGGAACCAUGAGAUUGCAGGUUCGAUCCCUGGCCUUGCUCAGUGGGUUAAGGAUUUGGCGUUGAUGUGAGCUGUGAUGUAGGUUGCAGACGCAGCUCGGAUCCUGUGUUGCUGUGGCUGUGAUGUAGGCAGCUCCGAUUAGACCCUUAGCCUGGGAACCUCCAUAUGCCAGGGGAGAGGCCCUAGCAAAGACAAAAAGACAAAAAGACAAAAAGACAAAAAAAAAAAAAAA
This 3767-nucleotide long non-coding RNA is filed under the name Sus scrofa (pig). RNAcentral's name for it is "lncRNA (ENSSSCG00035076102.1)". The record is from RNAcentral. Lineage: Eukaryota; Metazoa; Chordata; Mammalia; Artiodactyla; Suidae.